This 72-nucleotide transfer RNA is filed under the name Deltaproteobacteria bacterium RIFCSPHIGHO2_02_FULL_44_16. RNAcentral describes it as "tRNA-Val". It matches the Rfam family "tRNA". Rfam says of the family: Transfer RNA (tRNA) molecules are approximately 80 nucleotides in length. Their secondary structure includes four short double-helical elements and three loops (D, anti-codon, and T loops). Lineage: Bacteria; Deltaproteobacteria. RNAcentral also lists the same sequence under 1 other name. The record is from RNAcentral.
GGGCGCUUAGCUCAGCGGCAGAGCGUCUGCUUUACACGCAGAGGGUCGCAGGUUCAAAUCCUGCAGCGCCCA